Molecule: long non-coding RNA, 987 nt
Organism: Acyrthosiphon pisum (pea aphid)
Lineage: Eukaryota; Metazoa; Arthropoda; Insecta; Hemiptera; Aphididae
Exons: 4
Source: RefSeq, a predicted model, not a curated record
AAAUAACAACAUAAUAUUAUUAUUUUUUCGUAUGCCGACUUUAAAUUUGAAUCACUCACGAAUCUCGAUUAUUUGAAAUUUGAACAAAAAUACAGACUACGGAACAGUCGUAAAGAGUUCUAUUCAUACAUUUUAGUACAAAACCAUCAUGGACAAGUGUGUUCUUUUCAGUAAAACAUUCAAUGUAUCGCCUCGCCACACAUCACGUUCAUCUUCAUUUAUUUCCAAAAAAUCAAUGAAAUAAAAGGAAAUAAUGGCUAAAAAUCUUCGAAUUAAAUGAUUAUCCCUAUUUCUAUCAGUCAUAGUAUCUGUGGUAAUCAUUUCACAACUAUUAGUAAUUGUAAACAAUGUUCUCAAAACAUAAUUCAAACCACUUGUCUGGGAUAGAGAAGAAAUAACAAAUUUAAUUGUUUACGGCAACAUUGGUACAACCUACUCUGAGCACGACUAGUAAAUCGCAUCUAAGAGAAAAUUUUGUUUCUCCAACGAUGAGUUAGAAGAAAAUGUACAGACGAAUAAAGGAUUUGGAGUCCAUACAGUUGAUGAUUUUAAUUCAUCCAGAAAAGCCUUAGAUACCCAAUAAUGUCUAAUUCACACACUGCACUUAUCUCAUACAAUGGAUUAUACCUAUUAUGGUUAUCAAAACUGAAUUAUUUUUCAUAAAAUUGUGUUUCUCGAACGAUGAUUAACCUACAAACAAAGGAUUUGGAGACUUUACAAUUUAUGAUUUCAAUUCACCCAGAAAACCCAGAAGAAAGCCUUAGAUACUCAAUCAUGUUUAAUUCACACACACUUAUGUAAUUAUAAUUAUCACCUCUACAUAUUUAAAUUGCAAAUAAACACAUAAUUAGUUAGGACUUCAGCAUCUUUUCUAAAGGGAAAGUGAUUCUAGUUGGAUGACAGGUAAAAAUUGAAAAUUCUCAGGUGUUUUCAAAUACAUUGGAAAAAACAAAUAUAUAAUUAAGAAAAAUGGUUAUUUUUACACAA